This 795-nucleotide ribosomal RNA is filed under the name uncultured euglenozoan. RNAcentral's name for it is "bacterial SSU rRNA". It matches the Rfam family "Eukaryotic small subunit ribosomal RNA", at positions 282 to 858 of the family's 1831-position model. Lineage: Eukaryota; Euglenozoa. The record is from RNAcentral.
CAGCAUCGCUUGAUCACAUGAACUUCUGACCUAUCAGCUGGGACUGUGGUGUAGUGGACCACAGUGGCCUCGACGGGUGACGGAGAAUAAGGGUUCGAUUCCGGAGAGGGAGCCUGAGAGACGGCUACCACUGCCAAGGCGGGCAGCAGGCGCGCAAAUUGCCCAAUGCAAAAACAUCUGCGAGGCAGCGACGAACCGCAGCAAUCCCGCUGGUGCUCUGCGCUGGCGGGACUUGGAAUGGAUGCAAUCCAAACACAGUGAUGAGAAUCAACUGGAGGGCAAGUCUGGUGCCAGCAGCUGCGGUAAUUCCAGCUCCAAGGGCGUAUACUAACAUUGCUGCUGUUAAAACACCUGUAGUCUGCCACAGGGUCGUGGGUCUGCUGAGUGGCCUGGGGCCAGGAUCCCUUGGUGUCGGAACCCCUCCGGGGGGACCACGCCGGGGUCCCCUGGACCCGGGGUAAAACCCUCGGUGGUAUGCUCCCACGCCCAAUCCAAGCAACGGUGCGAGUGCCCCUGCCCAGAGGCCCCUUCACUGGGGUCCGAGGUGGCCACGCUGCCCACGCCAGUGCGGACGAUCCACGUGGUCGGAGCCCUCGUGCUCCGGAGCGACCACGCGUCCACCACCGGGGCCCACCGCUGUCGACACCGUGGAAAACUCAAUGUGCUCAAGGCGACCUGUGCGAAAACAAAGUCCCGCUGGCAACAGUGGGGACGAAUGGCUGAAUGUCUCUCCAUGGAAUGGCGACCUAUCGACCUAGCGAAGGCUACUGUGAUGUUGUGCUGGCCUUGGAGUCC